RNAcentral lists this transfer RNA (65 nucleotides) under Emerita talpoida. RNAcentral's name for it is "tRNA-Gly". The record is from RNAcentral. Lineage: Eukaryota; Metazoa; Arthropoda; Malacostraca; Decapoda; Hippidae.
AUCUUUUUAGUAUACAUGUACAUUUGGCUUCCAACCAAAAAGAUUAGAAUAACCUAAAAAAGAUA